GGUUCAGGCACAAGGUGCAGGUAGGCAGAUUUUGCUAAGUUUGACAAUUUUGUUCAGGGCUAACGUGAGCAAACAAUGCAAAUUCCCUAAUUGGGAUUCUGGAACCAGUUUUAAAGAGUAUGCAAAUAUAUUUCAAAGUAGUCAUGAUAAAAAAAGAUGAUAAAAAGGUGAGCAUAAGAAGGAAGAGGGAAAAAAAUGAGAUGUAUGCUUUGUAAACCCUUUUUCUUUUCCUUCCCUCCUUCCUCCCUCCCUCCCUUCCUUCCCCUCUCCCCCUCUUUCCCUUCCUUCCUUCCUUCCUUCCUUCCUUCCUUCCUUCCUUCCUUCUUUCUUUCCUUCCUUCCUUCUUUCUUUCCUUCCUUCCUUCCUUCCUUCCAAGUAGACUUUACUGUUUAGAGCAGUUUUAGGUCCAUGAUGAAAUGGAGGUGAAGGCAUGGAAAUUUCUCACAUAUCCCCUGUCUCCACACAUAUGCAGCAUCCCCAAUUACCAAUCUGUCUCACCAGAAUGCUACAUUUUUUUUUUACAAUCAAUGAACCUCUCUGACAUAUCAUUAACUAUCCAAAGACAAUAAUUUUUACAUUAAGGUCUUGAUAUAAAUUCUAUGUGUUUUGACAAAUGUAAAUGAUGUAUCCAUCACUAUUGUAUCACACAGAGCUGCCCUAAAAAUCCUCUGUGCUCUAUUUAUUUCUUCCUCUUUUCUUGUUUAUCCCUGGAAAU
RNAcentral lists this long non-coding RNA (715 nucleotides) under Marmota monax (woodchuck). Lineage: Eukaryota; Metazoa; Chordata; Mammalia; Rodentia; Sciuridae. The record is from RNAcentral.